AAAAUCUCCAGAAAGCAGUGAAUGAAGCAUCAAAACAAAAGACAGAAGACAAGUACAGAAUCUCAGCUGGAGUUCAACAGCUUGAUUUGAAGCUGCUUGAACUUUAUCCUAAAAUACAAGCACUGAAAAAACUGUCAACAGGGGAUGAUACACUGAUACGCUUCUCAGAAAAACUCAUUCAAGGUGGCAGGACGUAUUAUACCCUAAAGAAAAAGGUGAUCUCUCCUGAAGCGAAGGACAUGGGGAAAAGCCUGAAAGAGGUUUUGAACGUUUUGAAAAAGUCUCACCAGGAGCAUGAAGAGCUGUAACCGUUUCUCUCUCUGUGGCCUUAUCCUGUUGUAAUUUAUCAAGCAGGUUCAGUUUUUGUGGAUUAAUUUCUGUUUUUUUUAUCACUUUGAUUCUGUAUCGUAUGUACAACGACCCAACAUGAACCUAAUGUUUACUAUAAAACACCAUGCAAGUCCUUUUAAAAAGAAAACAUUUUGUUCAUUUUUUUUAAUGAUUCACAUGUUUUUAAUACUGUGGGAUUUGUUAUUUUAAUUAACUGUGUAUUUACUUUUUUCCAACAACAAACAACCUUUCUUCUUAUCAUUAAAGUUUAAAUUUCAGACAACUUGUA
Molecule: long non-coding RNA, 619 nt
Organism: Poeciliopsis prolifica (blackstripe livebearer)
Lineage: Eukaryota; Metazoa; Chordata; Actinopteri; Cyprinodontiformes; Poeciliidae
Exons: 2
Source: RefSeq, a predicted model, not a curated record